AGUGGAUGGGGAGCAACCUAGUUGUGCGUGUGUAAAGGUAGUGCCAAGAAAAGCGGUGAUCAUGAUGAAAAUCAAUUCCCGGUACCCGAAACCGACACAGGUGGGCAAGUAGAGAAUACUAAGGGGCGCGAGGUAACUCUCUCCAAGGAACUCGGCAAAAUGACCCCGUAACUUAGGGAGAAGGGGUGCCACCGAGAGGUGGUCGCAGUGAAGAGGCCCAGGCGACUGUUUAGCAAAAACAUAGGUCUCUGCAAACUCGAAAGAGGAGGUAUAGGGGCUGACGCCUGCCCAGUGCCGGAAGGUUAAAGUAGUUGGUCAGUCUUAGGAUGAAGCUAGCGACUGAAGCCCCGGUGAACGGCGGCCGUAACUAUAGCGGUCCUAAGGUAGCGAAAUUCCUUGUCGGGUAAGUUCCGACCCGCACGAAAGGCGUAGCGAUCUGGGCGCUGUCUCGGAGAGAGGCUCGGCGAAAUAGGAUUGUCUGUGAAGAUACGGACUACCUGCAUUUGGACAGAAAGACCCUAUGAAGCUUUACUAUAGCUUGGAAUUGUGUUCGGGCUUCCUGUGCGCAGGAUAGGUGGGAGGCGUAGAAGGUAUUCUUGUGGGGAUACUGGAGCCAACGGUGAGAUACCACUCUCAGGAGGCUAGAAUUCUAACUUAAUUAAGGACAGUUUCAGGUGGGUAGUUUGACUGGGGCGGUCGCCUCCAAAAAGGUAACGGAGGCGUACAAAGGUUCCCUCAGACUGGUUGGAAAUCAGUCGAGAGUGCAAAGGCAGAAGGGAGCUUGACUGCGAGAAGUACAGUUCGAGCAGGGUGGAAACACGGUCUUAGUGAUCCGACGGUGCUGUGUGGAAGGGCCGUCGCUCAACGGAUAAAAGUUACUCUAAGGAUAACAGGCUGAUCUCCCCCAAGAGUUCACAUCGACGGGGAGGUUUGGCACCUCGAUGUCGGCUCAUCGCAACCUGGGGCGGAAGUACGUCCCAAGGGUUGGGCUGUUCGCCCAUUAAAGCGGUACGUGAGCUGGGUUCAGAACGUCGUGAGACAGUUCGGUCCAUAUCCGAUGUAGGCGUGAGAAUAUUGAGAGGAGCCUUCCUUAGUACGAGAGGACCGGGAAGGACGCACCGCUGGUGUACCUGUUAUGAUGCCAAUUGUAAACGCAGGGUAGCCAAGUGCGGAGAGGAUAACCGCUGAAAGCAUCUAAGUGGGAAGCCCACCUCAAGAUGAGUAUUCUGGUGUAAGGUCACGGGAAGACGACCCGUAAAUAGGCACGAGGUGGAAGUGCAGAGAUGUAUGAAGCCGAAGUGUACUAAUAGACCGUCGGCUUGAC
This 1324-nucleotide ribosomal RNA is filed under the name metagenome. RNAcentral's name for it is "bacterial LSU rRNA". It matches the Rfam family "Bacterial large subunit ribosomal RNA", at positions 1561 to 2925 of the family's 2925-position model. The record is from RNAcentral.